Molecule: non-coding RNA, 87 nt
Filed under: Desulfonispora thiosulfatigenes
Lineage: Bacteria; Bacillati; Bacillota; Clostridia; Eubacteriales; Peptococcaceae
Also listed under: 1 other name
Description: c-di-GMP sequence
Rfam family: c-di-GMP-I riboswitch aptamer
About the family: GEMM was predicted in a large-scale screen for bacterial structured RNA regulatory elements.
Source: RNAcentral
UAAUGCCAAGGGAAAACCCGGUUAAACACGGGGAUACAAAGCCAUAGGGUCUACGGCGUUUUACACUAUGAUAGUCUGGCUGCAAAC